This is a long non-coding RNA of Mesocricetus auratus (golden hamster), 1531 nucleotides long. RefSeq lists it as uncharacterized. The transcript is spliced from 4 exons. The record is from RefSeq and is a predicted model, not a curated record. NCBI's taxonomy places the organism in Eukaryota, Metazoa, Chordata, Mammalia, Rodentia, Cricetidae.
UGCGGGCUCGCAGGCGGGCGACGGUCCAGUCCGGCUCCAGCCGCUUCUCGGAUCCCUCUGGUCCUGGUGCCUGGCGCUCUCCGAGGUCCUAACCCAGCGGGCGGGUCUGCCGCAGGCUCCGCCCCCGCCGUGGGAGUGAUCUUAAAGUUUCCAGCAUCUGUGGAUUGACUGCCGCUGAAGGACAAAGGGGAUUGGACCAGAUGUUGAUAAAAUUUGAGGAUGAGGAUAGUUUUACAAUGAUGAGUGACUAUGCACAAUCAACUAAAUACAACAUGGCAAAGGAGAGCAGUGUUGACUCAAGCUAGUGCUUUUUGCGACUUUAUGAGACAGUAUGGCAUUUUCCCCCCAGGAGGCAAUGACAUCCAUUCUGUCUCCACUGACUCACUUGGUGGGAACAGGAAGUCCACAUGCUAAUGCAAAUAAAGAGGAGGAGGAAUGGGACAGGAGGCAUCCCAUCCGGUAUAAAGAUGAGGACUGAUGUAUAUGUGUUAUAUGUGUAUGUAAGUAUCCCCAGAUUGAGUUCUGAAGAUGUUAAAAACAGGUAUAAAAAUGAAAAUUUUACCACUUUAAAAGAAGAGUAUGAAGGAAUACUGAGAUCUAGAAUGGUGAUGUGUCUGGUAAGAACUGAUUUUUUUAAAUCAAUGUUUAUCAGUAGAAAAAAUAGCAAGAAAUACAUUAUAUGACAAACAAUAAAAUUCAAGAUGUUGCUUACCUGGAUUGCAGUGAGGAGGAGCCCCAAAGGCUUUUAUAUAUUGCAGAUGUUUCUUCUACUUUUUUUUAAAACAAUGAAUGGGUGGCAUGUGACUGUUCAUCACAAAUUGUUAUCAAUUUUUACAUAUUCAUAUACUAAAUAUAUGUUAAAAGAAUAAGGGUCAGGCCAUUAUAAAACUGUACAUGUUGGAUUUUCUGACAAUUGUGUUUCCUUUGCAAAACCACGGAAAGGCUUUUAGACCUUUCUCAGCCUCUAACAGAAAGUGACAGGAGUCUGUGAACUGAAAAGUAUGCCUUGGGUUGGCAGAAACACUGAGGGGUUAGCAAAAAUUUGCCAGCUAAUAGCACAGCUGUGAUUUAGCUAUUGUACCCUAGACUCCUGUUUGAUCCCUGAACCCAGCUAUGGGUGUUAGAGGAUUGUGGUGCUCAGGAAUCAGCCAUGAUACGAGAAGGGCCAUAGUGAAGAGGACUCAGUGAUUCCUGAGUGACAUCAGGUACCAUAACGGGCACAGGAAUUGCUACCUACUGUCAUCACUGUCCUCUUAACAAACUAGCAUUCACAUUAACAGUUAACAGCAUGAAAACAUAAGAAAACAAAACAACAAAAAACCUCUCAUACUACCCAAUCUCUGCCUCACAAAGACUGUGGAAGGACAGGGGGAAAAUGUUUUGGUUUGGUUUGGUUGGUUUUUUUUUUUUUUUUCAUUGCACAACCAUAAAAAAUGAAGAGCAGAACAGCCUUCCCCAGGUCACUGACCUUAUGGUCAGGAUACUGACCUCAAAUCCAAAUUUUCUUCAUUUGCAAACUCAGUGGUUCUGG